Molecule: non-coding RNA, 572 nt
Organism: Mus caroli (Ryukyu mouse)
Lineage: Eukaryota; Metazoa; Chordata; Mammalia; Rodentia; Muridae
Source: RefSeq, a predicted model, not a curated record
GCGGCUUGACGAACGUCCGCGCUGCUUCUCUCGCUUCCCGUCCGCUGUGGCCGGGCGAGGGGGGGCCUUCCGGAGCCAUGGAGGACGAGGUGGUUCGCAUUGCCAAGAAGAUGGACAAAAUGGUGCAGAAAAAGAAUGCUGCUGGCGCAUUGGAUUUGCUGAAAGAGCUUAAGAAUAUUCCGAUGACCCUAGAAUUGCUACAGUCCACGAGAAUUGGAAUGUCUGUCAAUGCUCUUCGCAAGCAGAGUACAGACGAAGAAGUCACAUCUCUAGCCAAAUCUCUCAUCAAAUCCUGGAAAAAAUUAUUAGAUGGACCAUCAACUGAUAAAGAUCCUGAAGAAAAGAAAAAAGAACCUGCAAUUUCAUCACAGAAUAGCCCUGAAGCAAGAGAAGAAAGUAGUUCCAGCAGCAAUGUAAGCAGCAGAAAGGAUGAGACAAAUGCUCGAGAUACUUAUGUUUCAUCUUUUCCUCGGGCACCAAGCACUUCUGAUUCUGUGCGAUUAAAAUGUAGGGAGAUGCUUGCUGCAGCUCUUCGGACAGGAGAUGAUUAUGUUGCUAUUGGAGCUGAUGAA